This 341-nucleotide unclassified non-coding RNA is filed under the name fungal sp. Its description in RNAcentral is "partial internal transcribed spacer region". The stretch from base 1 to 46 matches the Rfam family "Eukaryotic small subunit ribosomal RNA", at positions 1786 to 1831 of the family's 1831-position model. Lineage: Eukaryota; Fungi. The record is from RNAcentral.
AAGUCGUAACAAGGUAACCGUAGGUGAACCUGCGGUUGGAUCAUUACUGAAAAGGCGAUCGUUCGUUCCUACGUUCGUUCCCACCCUUUGUGAACCGUGAUUGUCCCUGGCGGCGGGGUGCGAGUGGACUCGGGCGCAGAGAGGUGCUGUACCUCUCGGCGCGUGGCGUCCCCGUACCUGCCAGCUUGUCGGGUCCGUCGUCCCCCCGCGGGGCGUGGGCCCGCUUGCCGUGGGCAAACCGCCAAAUGUGCCCUGAACUUGCCAUCUCAACUUUGCCGCCUCAAUGUACACGUGGUAUAGCAAUACCUUAACAACUUUUGGCAACGGAUCUCUUGGCUCUC